This is a non-coding RNA of Xenopus tropicalis (tropical clawed frog), 74 nucleotides long. The record is from Rfam. NCBI's taxonomy places the organism in Eukaryota, Metazoa, Chordata, Amphibia, Anura, Pipidae.
GGCGCUGUGGCUUAGUUGGUUAAAGCGCCUGUCUAGUUAACAGGAGAUCCCGAGUUCGACUCUCAGUAGUGCCU